Molecule: non-coding RNA, 176 nt
Organism: Podarcis lilfordi (Lilford's wall lizard)
Lineage: Eukaryota; Metazoa; Chordata; Lepidosauria; Squamata; Lacertidae
Source: the annotation of a GenBank genome assembly
CAGCCCCACUCACCCCACAGAAUGUUUGUUGUGGGGGAGGAAGGGAAAGGAGAAUGUUAACUGCUUUGAGACUCCUUCGGGUAGUGAUAAAGCAGGAUAUAAAAUCCAAACUCUUCUUCUUCUUCUUCUUUCCCUUCCUCCUCCACAACAAACACUCUGUGAGGUGAGUGGGGCUG